Molecule: ribosomal RNA, 433 nt
Filed under: uncultured bacterium
Lineage: Bacteria
Description: partial 16S ribosomal RNA
Rfam family: Bacterial small subunit ribosomal RNA
Source: RNAcentral
AACGAACGCUGGCGGCAUGCCUAACACAUGCAAGUCGAACGAGACCUUCGGGUCUAGUGGCGCACGGGUGCGUAACGCGUGGGAACCUGCCUUUAGGUCCGGAAUAACUCAGAGAAAUUUGAGCUAAUACCGGAUGAUGUCUUCGGACCAAAGAUUUAUCGCCUUUAGAUGGGCCCGCGUUGGAUUAGCUAGUUGGUGGGGUAAAGGCCUACCAAGGCGACGAUCCAUAGCUGGUCUGAGAGGAUGAUCAGCCACACUGGGACUGAGACACGGCCCAGACUCCUACGGGAGGCAGCAGUGGGGAAUAUUGGACAAUGGGCGAAAGCCUGAUCCAGCAAUGCCGCGUGAGUGAUGAAGGCCUUAGGGUUGUAAAGCUCUUUUACCCGAGAUGAUAAUGACAGUAUCGGGAGAAUAAGCCCCGGCUAACUCCGUG